RNAcentral lists this ribosomal RNA (114 nucleotides) under Chrysemys picta bellii (western painted turtle). The record is from RNAcentral. Lineage: Eukaryota; Metazoa; Chordata; Testudines; Emydidae.
GCCAGCAGCCAAACUACCUCAGGCUGUGAUCUUAUCAGAUCUAAUAAACUAAAAAGUAUUGGACUGGGAUUGUACUUGGUAGGAAAGCUCCAGGAAAAGCCCAAGGUGCUGGAG